RNAcentral lists this ribosomal RNA (250 nucleotides) under uncultured bacterium. RNAcentral's name for it is "partial 16S ribosomal RNA". It matches the Rfam family "Bacterial small subunit ribosomal RNA", at positions 524 to 773 of the family's 1533-position model. The record is from RNAcentral.
AACGUAGGAGGCGAGCGUUAUCCGGAUUUACUGGGUGUAAAGCGCAUGCAGGCGGUUGGCUAAGUUGGGUGUGAAAGCUCCUGGCUCAACUGGGAGAGGUCGCUCAAGACUGGCGAACUAGAGGACGGUAAGGGGAAGCGGAAUUCCGGGUGUAGUGGUGAAAUGCGUAGAUAUCCGGAGGAACACCAGUGGCGAAGGCGGCUUUCUGGACCGCACCUGACGCUCAGAUGCGAAAGCUAGGGUAGCAAAC